Non-coding RNA from Manis javanica (Malayan pangolin), 2563 nucleotides. The record is from RefSeq and is a predicted model, not a curated record. NCBI's taxonomy places the organism in Eukaryota, Metazoa, Chordata, Mammalia, Pholidota, Manidae.
GAGGGCCGACCAGGACCGGAGGGGCCUGGGGGAUGGUGGGGAGGGGCCAGAAGAGAAGUGAGGAGGGGCUCCGUCCACCUGGCCGCCUCGUCCGUCCGCGCCGACCUGCCGCCUGGGCCGCGCCGCUCGCGGGGUCUCCCAGGACGGCAGAGGCUGGUCCCGAGGGGCUCCACCACCCGGUCCCGACGCGUUCCUGCGGGCACCCUGGGCUCCGCCCCGCCACCUGCCUGCAGGUCUGGGAGGGUCGCCUCCUCCGCCGGGGGGCCGGGGGCACCUUCCUGGCGGGCCCGCCUGUGCCCGGCAGUGUCGGGACACUCCUAGAAGGACCCCUGGGGACCUGAGCUCGUUGGAGGGACACCAGGGCUGGGCAUCAGUUUCCCAAAGGGCUCAGACCCACAGUGAGCCCCGCCGUGUCCCUUGCUCCUGCCCCAGCGCCUCCUUAGCGCUACCCGCGGUCCGAGCCCCUCGUGGCGCGGCGCGGCCGGUAGAAGCGGAUCCCGGCCCUGCCGGUGCUGCGCGGAGGGGGGUGAGCGGCCACCCAGAGGGAACGUGACCCCAUCUCCCCCACCCGGGAUCAGAGCAAGACUCCCCUUCCGGAGAACUGGGCUGGGGUCCCGGCUGCGUCACCGCCAGUGCCUUGCGCAACCCUGGUUGUGUCAACGCAGGUGCCUCGGGUCCCAGUGACUCUGCAGCGCCGAGGAGGGUGGGAUCUCUGGGACCACCCCUCCGGGGUCACAGAUGAGGACAGGCGGAGGCUCUGGAGGGGGUGGGGUCGUAGGUGGAGGGCAAGGUCACUCCUUCGCCUGGCUGACCAGCAUCAGAACCCCCUGGGUCCCUGGGUGGCUCCUGAAUCUCCAGGCUGCCGGGGCACAGGAAGGGACGGCCCGCGUCCUGGGCCCCUCUGCGGGCGGCCUGCGGGGACCUGCCGGCCGCGGGGCCCGGCCGCGCGGAGCUCCCACAGUGUCCCCGUGUGGCUGCCGAGGGCGCUGCAGGGCCCGGCUGGGACGGCGCCGGCUGCCGCAGGCUCCAAGGGGACGGAAGGAUGCAGGGCUCCCGCUUCGCCUGGGAGAGGCGGGCGCUCACCUCCCAGGGGUUCUUAGCCAUUAUUUUGACCUGAAAGGGCAGCUCGUCGCCUCCACAGUGCAGAUGAGGAAGUGGCGAACUCGCUCAAGUUCAUCUGCCCACCUUCAGCGCAUUAGGACUAGGACCCCACCGGGGAGUCCCCGCACCUUCCCAGUGGCCGGGGAUCGGGAUUCAGCCUGCCUCAGCCCCGCCCACCUCGUGGCAACUCCCUGAGCCCAGGCAGACGAGAGCUCGCUGCAGCCUGGGGCCCGCACCCACCGCAGCUUUCCUUGCCCACCUCUGCCGCCCACUCACUCCCAGACGUUCCGCACCCGCACUUCCAGGCCUCCCUGCCUCUGCAGGUGCAGGGUUUGGCCCUCACCAGCGGGAGGCCCAGGUCGAGCACAGCGGAGGGCAGGGCCUCCAGCCAAGUCCAGCCACCAGACAUCAGCUUGCCGUCCUUCCACGGCUUGGCCUGCUGCAGAGAAGACCCGCGCCAGGGUGGCUGCCCUCCAGGUCCCAUUUCCUCAGGAAAAAGAGCUUCUGUGGUCUGGGGUACACCUGGCUCUCCACGUGCCGUGUCUCAGCACUGCUCGGUUCAGACGCCUGUUCAAAUGUGGGUCCUUCUGGGGCCCCAGAGCAAGGCCAUACCUCUCUGGGUGCCAGUUUGGUCCCCAAUAAAAGGGAGAUCUGGGCCAGGCAUUGAACCAGCCACUGCAGAUGAGGGGGAUAGCUUCUCAUUCACCCCUGUGUGCCCACUUCCAGCUCCCAGCAUGAUUGAUGCUUGGCACAGAAGUGGUCUCAGACACAGGUCACUACACAAAUAUCUGGAAACCUAACCUAAGUACCCACACAGGCUUCCUGGAGGAGGUGGCAGCCUCUGGACCAGUGCCUCCACCCAGCACCUCCUCAGGGAGUCCAGCCAUGGUGCUCCCCCAGCUGACCGUAACCCCCUGGCCACCCCGGUGUGGUCCCCUUGGCCGGUUCCUUCCUGCCUCCUGCAUCUCUAAGAGUGGGGUUGCCCUAGCUCCUUCUCUGUGGGCAUGCACCACAUGCCAGCAACUUGGAUGUCUGCUGCCAGCAUGGCGCUUAUCUGAGACCAGACCCACAGGUCCAUCUGCCUCCCUGCCAUCUCUGCUUGGAUGCCAGCAGGCUUCUCCACUCUAAGAUGUUCAAAACAAAACCUCUGCGCACAGAAUAGCCAAGUUGGAUAUAAACAAACUUUGAGAAUCUCUUAUGUUUAGAAAUUAAGGUAUUUAUAUCUGUAGCUAAUCCAUGGGUAAAAUGAGAAAUCACAAUGGAAAUUAGAAAACAAUUUGAACCCGAUAAUAAUGAACAUUAUUACAUCAAAAUCUGUGGGAUGGUACUAAAGCCUUGCUUAGAAAGAAAAAUACAUAUUAGAAGAAGAAAGUGGGAAUGUAUAAUGGUACAGCCACUAUGGAAAACAGUAUGGCAGUUCCUACAGGGGGUGGGGAAUUGCCCUGUGACACGGCAACCCCAC